GUCCCCGUCGUCUAGCCCGGCCUAGGACAUCGCCCCUUCACGGCGGUAACGCGGGUUCGAAUCCCGCCGGGGACGCCA
RNAcentral lists this transfer RNA (78 nucleotides) under Terriglobia bacterium. RNAcentral describes it as "tRNA-Glu". It matches the Rfam family "tRNA". Rfam says of the family: Transfer RNA (tRNA) molecules are approximately 80 nucleotides in length. Their secondary structure includes four short double-helical elements and three loops (D, anti-codon, and T loops). Further hydrogen bonds mediate the characteristic L-shaped molecular structure. tRNAs have two regions of fundamental functional importance: the anti-codon, which is responsible for specific mRNA codon recognition, and the 3' end, to which the tRNAs corresponding amino acid is attached (by aminoacyl-tRNA synthetases). tRNAs cope with the degeneracy of the genetic code in two manners: having more than one tRNA (with a specific anti-codon) for a particular amino acid; and 'wobble' base-pairing, i.e. permitting non-standard base-pairing at the 3rd anti-codon position. The record is from RNAcentral. Lineage: Bacteria; Pseudomonadati; Acidobacteriota; Terriglobia.